This is a non-coding RNA of Neocallimastix lanati (nom. inval.), 73 nucleotides long. Lineage: Eukaryota; Fungi; Neocallimastigomycota; Neocallimastigomycetes; Neocallimastigales; Neocallimastigaceae. The record is from the annotation of a GenBank genome assembly.
GCCGUUCUCGUAUAGUGGUUUAGUAUAAGUCGUUGUGGCCGACUCGACCCAGGUUCGAAUCCUGGGAACGGCA